Molecule: small nucleolar RNA, 233 nt
Filed under: Chinchilla lanigera (long-tailed chinchilla)
Lineage: Eukaryota; Metazoa; Chordata; Mammalia; Rodentia; Chinchillidae
Description: Small nucleolar RNA SNORA73 family (ENSCLAG00000019917.1)
Rfam family: Small nucleolar RNA SNORA73 family
About the family: U17 (SNORA73A and SNORA73B) also known as E1 belongs to the H/ACA class of small nucleolar RNAs (snoRNAs).
Source: RNAcentral
CCAGGGAGGAAGCUCCCUGCCACUCAGGUCAGGAAUGGUGCAGUAACAGAAAAUGAGCACUCUCCGCGGGCUCUAUUCAGGCGGCAUCCGGGAGCACAGGGCGCUGCCCCACGAUGCACAGUCCCCCUCCACGACGCUGGAGAGCUGGGCCUUGCGUCUGCCCUGCACACCCCUACAACUUCCCAGAGUCCUCUGGGCAAUGACUGAGGAGACAAGCCAUGCAGGAAACUAUG